GGGACUGAGACACGGCCCAUACUCCUACGGGAGGCAGCAGCGGGGAAUAUUGCGCAAUGGACGGAAGUCAGACGCAGCGACGCCGCGUGGGUGAGGAAGGCCUUCGGGUUGUAAAGCCCUUUUCAGGGGAGCGAGAAAGGACGGUACCCUUGGAAUAAGCGUCGGCUAACUACGUGCCAGCAGCCGCGGUAAGACGUAGGACGCAAGCGUUAUCCGGAUUUACUGGGCGUAAAGCGCCUGUAGGCGGUCAAGUAAGUCGGAUGUGAAAGCCCCGUGCUCAACGCGGGGAAGCCAUUCGAUACUGCGUGACUAGAGAACGGCAGAGGGAAACGGAAUUUCUGGUGUAGCGGUAAAACGCGCAGAGAUCAGAAAGAACACCGAUGGCGAAGGCAGUUUCCUAGGCCGCAUCUGACGCUGAGAGGCGAAAGCUAGGGGAGCAAACAGGAUUAGAGACCCUGGUAGUCCUAGCUGUAAACGAUGGAUGCUAGGUGUGGGCCGGAAAGGUCCGUGCCGUAGUUAACGCGAUAAGCAUCCCGCCUGGGGAGUACGGCCGCAAGGCUAAAACUCAAACGAAUUGACGGGGACCCGCACAAGCAGCGGAGCGUGUGGUUUAAUUCGAUGCUACACGCAGAACCUUACCUGGGCUUGACAUGUAGGUGGUAGUGAAGUGAAAGCGGAGCGACCCUUCGGGGAGCCUACACAGGUGCUGCAUGGCUGUCGUCAGCUCGUGCCGUGAGGUGUCGGGUUAAGUCCCGUAACGAGCGCAACCCUUGUCCUUAGUUACAAGUGUCUAAGGAGACUGCCGGUGACAAACCGGAGGAAGGUGGGGAUGACGUCAAGUCAGCAUGGCCCUUAUGUCCAGGGCGACACACACGCUACAAUGGUCGGUACAAUGGGCAGCGCAGCCGCGAGGUGAAGCGAAUCCCAACAAAGCCGAUCCCAGUUCGGAUUGCAGGCUGCAACCCGCCUGCAUGAAGCCGGAGUUGCUAGUAACCGCGCGUCAGCCAUAGUGCGGUGAAUACGUUCCCGGGUCUUGUACACACCGCCCGUCACGUCAUGGGAGUUGGUAACGCCUGAAGCCGGUAGUCUGACCUAACGGAGACGCGGUCGAAGGCGG
Molecule: ribosomal RNA, 1117 nt
Filed under: uncultured organism
Description: bacterial SSU rRNA
Rfam family: Bacterial small subunit ribosomal RNA
Source: RNAcentral